GAAUUCACUAGUGAUUCAGGCCUAACACAUGCAAGUCGAACGGUAACAGGAAACAGCUUGCUGUUUCGCUGACGAGUGGCGGACGGGUGAGUAAUGUCUGGGAAACUGCCUGAUGGAGGGGGAUAACUACUGGAAACGGUAGCUAAUACCGCAUAACGUCGCAAGACCAAAGAGGGGGACCUUCGGGCCUCUUGCCAUCGGAUGUGCCCAGAUGGGAUUAGCUAGUAGGUGGGGUAACGGCUCACCUAGGCGACGAUCCCUAGCUGGUCUGAGAGGAUGACCAGCCACACUGGAACUGAGACACGGUCCAGACUCCUACGGGAGGCAGCAGUGGGGAAUAUUGCACAAUGGGCGCAAGCCUGAUGCAGCAAGGCCGCGUGUAUGAAGAAGGCCUUCGGGUUGUAAAGUAAUGGCAGCGGGGAGGAAGGGAGUAAAGUUAAUACCUUUACUCAUUGACGUACCCGCAGA
RNAcentral lists this ribosomal RNA (468 nucleotides) under uncultured bacterium. Its description in RNAcentral is "bacterial SSU rRNA". It matches the Rfam family "Bacterial small subunit ribosomal RNA", at positions 34 to 485 of the family's 1533-position model. The record is from RNAcentral.